Molecule: non-coding RNA, 339 nt
Organism: Lonchura striata (white-rumped munia)
Lineage: Eukaryota; Metazoa; Chordata; Aves; Passeriformes; Estrildidae
Source: RefSeq, a predicted model, not a curated record
UGGACUCAGGAGGAUGCAAGAGCAAACCAACACAUCACAGCAAUGCCCCGAAACUCAGUUGCUCUCUGGGUAGCACAUUGUCUCCAAGACCUCGGAGCCUGCCCUGUACAGCCUUCCCAGGAGCCUCAAGGAACCUCCUCUGGAGAGGGGAACACUCUCCUCUCAGAAGAUCUGAUUUCCAACCCAGCCCAACCUGAUUUAACUCAACCCAACCCUACCCAUCCUCAUUGCCAACCACCCAUGCCCCCAUCCUCCAAACCUGUCACCUGGACUAGGUGGCAUCAUAUCCAACCCAGGAAAAAGGAUUUACUAUCCAAAUAAAAAACAAACCAACAAAAC